RNAcentral lists this ribosomal RNA (253 nucleotides) under uncultured bacterium. RNAcentral's name for it is "partial 16S ribosomal RNA". It matches the Rfam family "Bacterial small subunit ribosomal RNA", at positions 524 to 776 of the family's 1533-position model. The record is from RNAcentral.
UACAGAGGUCUCAAGCGUUGUUCGGAUUCAUUGGGCGUAAAGGGUGCGUAGGUGGCGGGGUAAGUCAGGUGUGAAAUCUCGGAGCUCAACUCCGAAACUGCACUUGAUACUGCCUUGCUCGAGUACUGGAGAGGAGAUUGGAAUUUACGGUGUAGCAGUGAAAUGCGUAGAUAUCAGGAGGAACACCAAUGGCGAAGGCAGAUCUCUGGGCCGUAACUGACGCUGAGGAGCGAAAGCAUGGGGAGCGAACAGG